UACGGAGGGUGCAAACGUUGUUCGGAAUCACUGGGCAUAAAGGGCGCGUAGGCGGUCCCGUGAGUCGGAUGUGAAAGACCUUGGCUCAACCAAGGAAUGGCAUCCGAAACUGCGGGGCUGGAGGCCGAAAGGGGCAAGCGGAACUCCUGGUGGAGCGGUGAAAUGCGUAGAUAUCAGGAGGAACACCGGUGGCGAAGGCGGCUUGCUGGAUCGGUUCUGACGCUGAGGCGCGAAAGCCAGGGGAGCAAACGGG
Molecule: ribosomal RNA, 253 nt
Filed under: uncultured bacterium
Lineage: Bacteria
Description: partial 16S ribosomal RNA
Rfam family: Bacterial small subunit ribosomal RNA
Source: RNAcentral